CACGUAGGCGGAUCUUUAAGUCAGAGGUGAAAUCCCAAGGCUCAACCUUGGAACUGCCUUUGAUACUGGGGAUCUCGAGUCCGGAAGAGGUGAGUGGAACUCCGAGUGUAGAGGUGAAAUUCGUAGAUAUUCGGAAGAACACCAGUGGCGAAGGCGGCUCACUGGUCCGGUACUGACGCUGAGGUGCGAAAGCGCGGGGAGCAAACA
RNAcentral lists this ribosomal RNA (207 nucleotides) under uncultured bacterium. RNAcentral's name for it is "partial 16S ribosomal RNA". It matches the Rfam family "Bacterial small subunit ribosomal RNA", at positions 568 to 774 of the family's 1533-position model. The record is from RNAcentral.